UUCUCCUGCUGAAGCUACUUGGGUGCUUCUUGGCUAAUUUUAACCUGCCAGUUCAAAGAGCACGCGGACCGAAUGCAACACUAUAAACCGUUAGAGAGGAAACACGUCUUGCGGUGGCACCUUGGUAAGAUCUUUGUCCAGAUAAGUAUUAUAAAACAUCUGAUUCAAAGUCCUGUAGAAAUGAGUCAUCGUUCUCGAGCCUCCA
Long non-coding RNA from Morone saxatilis (striped sea-bass), 205 nucleotides. RefSeq lists it as uncharacterized. The transcript has 3 exons. The record is from RefSeq and is a predicted model, not a curated record. NCBI's taxonomy places the organism in Eukaryota, Metazoa, Chordata, Actinopteri, Moronidae.